AUGGCUGCAGCCGCCGCAGAAGCACAGCCACAUGCGGCCUACCAAUCAGAAUUCAGACCACUUUCUGUCAGGACCGUUAAGAUAGAGAAGUUUGCUUUCCAGGACAUUAAUGAAGUGUAUGGAUACAGAAUAAACAGGGAUAUAAUGAAGACCCUAAAAGGCCUUUUUAUAUCAUUAUCAUGGCUGUCAGGUGUCCUGUCUUCUAACCAACUUGUCCAGUCUGAUCCAGCCGUGAUAAAGCCGGGGAACUCCCAUACACUCACCUGUCAGGGUUCAGGAGGAUUCACCUUUGGUAGCAAUUAUAUGCACUGGUUCAGACAGUUCUCUGAUGGAAAGUUUCAAUGGUUGUGUUAUAUUGGUAGCAGUGGGGAUACACACUAUAAUGAUGCUGUUAAAGGGAGAUUUACAACCACUAGAGAUAACAGCAAUAACAAGCUGACUCUGAAAACGGACAACAUGAAAAUAGAAGACACUGCCGUGUAUUACUGUGCAAGACGCUCACACUGAUGGAAAAUAUAUCUU
Rana temporaria (common frog) is the source of this 522-nucleotide non-coding RNA. NCBI's taxonomy places the organism in Eukaryota, Metazoa, Chordata, Amphibia, Anura, Ranidae. The record is from the annotation of a RefSeq genome assembly.